UACGGAGGUUCCUAGCGUUGUUCGGAAUUACUGGGCGUAAAGGGAGCGCAGGCGGACAGGUCAGUUUAAAGUGGAAUCCCAGGGCUCAACCCUGGACGUGCUUUGGAUACUGCCUGUCUUGAGUUCGUGAGAGGAAAGUGGAAUUCAGGGUGUAGCGGUGAAAUGCUUAGAUAUCCUGAGGAACACCAGUGGCGAAAGCGACUUUCUGGCACGAAACUGACGCUGAGGCUCGAAAGCAUGGGUAGCGAACGGG
RNAcentral lists this ribosomal RNA (253 nucleotides) under uncultured bacterium. RNAcentral describes it as "partial 16S ribosomal RNA". It matches the Rfam family "Bacterial small subunit ribosomal RNA", at positions 524 to 776 of the family's 1533-position model. The record is from RNAcentral.